Molecule: small nuclear RNA, 109 nt
Filed under: Octopus vulgaris (common octopus)
Lineage: Eukaryota; Metazoa; Mollusca; Cephalopoda; Octopoda; Octopodidae
Also listed under: 1 other name
Source: RNAcentral
GAGAUCUGCUCGAUUAAUUACAUGUCCUAAAAUUGGAACACUAAAGAAAUGAGUAGCAUGGCCUCUGCGCAAGGAUGACACGCAAAGUCGUGAAGCGUUCGAUAUUUUU